UGCUCGAGUGGCGAACGGGUGAGUAACACGUGGGUGAUCUGCCCUGCACUUCGGGAUAAGCUUGGGAAACUGGGUCUAAUACCGGAUAGGACCAUCGUUUAGUGUCGGUGGUGGAAAGUUUUUUCGGUGUGGGAUGAGCUCGCGGCCUAUCAGCUUGUUGGUGGGGUAAUGGCCUACCAAGGCGUCGACGGGUAGCCGGCCUGAGAGGGUGUACGGCCACAUUGGGACUGAGAUACGGCCUAG
RNAcentral lists this ribosomal RNA (243 nucleotides) under uncultured Actinomycetales bacterium. RNAcentral describes it as "partial 16S ribosomal RNA". It matches the Rfam family "Bacterial small subunit ribosomal RNA", at positions 88 to 334 of the family's 1533-position model. Lineage: Bacteria; Bacillati; Actinomycetota; Actinomycetes; Actinomycetales. The record is from RNAcentral.